UAGUAACUGCGAGUGAAGCGGGAAAAGCUCAAAUUUAAAAUCUGGUAGUCUUUGGCUGCCCGAGUUGUAAUCUAGAGAAGCGUUAUCCGUGCUGGACCGUGUAUAAGUCUCCUGGAAUGGAGCGUCAUAGAGGGUGAGAAUCCCGUCUUUGACACGGACUCCCAGUGCAUUGUGAUGCGCUCUCGAAGAGUCGAGUUGUUUGGGAAUGCAGCUCUAAAUGGGUGGUAAAUUCCAUCUAAAGCUAAAUAUUGGCGAGAGACCGAUAGCGAACAAGUACCGUGAGGGAAAGAUGAAAAGAACUUUGGAAAGAGAGUUAAACAGUACGUGAAAUUGUUGAAAGGGAAACGCUUGAAGUCAGUCGCGUUGGCUUGGAAUCAGCCUUGCUUUUGCUUGGUGUACUUCCUUGUGAACGGGUCAGCAUCAAUUUUGACCGGUGGAAAAAGGCCAGAUGAAUGUGGCAUCUUCGGAUGUGUUAUAGCUUCUGGUCGUAUACAUCGGUUGGGAUUGAGGAACUCAGCACGCCGCAAGGUCGGGGUUCGCCCACGUUCGUGCUUAGGAUGCUGGCAUAAUGGCUUUAAUCGACCCGU
RNAcentral lists this ribosomal RNA (587 nucleotides) under Clitopilus aff. hobsonii DLL9586. RNAcentral's name for it is "LSU rRNA". It matches the Rfam family "Eukaryotic large subunit ribosomal RNA", at positions 81 to 652 of the family's 3401-position model. The record is from RNAcentral. Lineage: Eukaryota; Fungi; Basidiomycota; Agaricomycetes; Agaricales; Entolomataceae.